GUCGUGCUGCUAGGCCGGGUCAUGGAUCAAUCUGAUCCAUUUGCAUCCUUAGUUCCAGCCCCAAGGGCCAUAUCAGGUAACCAAAAACUAACUACCGGUCUCAGCCCGCCAGAAACCAAUUCGAUUCCAUUGCUUGGCGGCUGGCAUUCCGCUGCUAGGCUUCUAUGCCGGCUGCCGGCCUCAUGGUGGAGCGGACUCACA
Molecule: long non-coding RNA, 201 nt
Filed under: Elaeis guineensis (African oil palm)
Lineage: Eukaryota; Viridiplantae; Streptophyta; Magnoliopsida; Arecales; Arecaceae
Description: long non-coding RNA (EGUI_LNC043108)
Source: RNAcentral